This is a long non-coding RNA of Colias croceus (clouded yellow), 2931 nucleotides long. RefSeq lists it as uncharacterized. The transcript is spliced from 2 exons. The record is from RefSeq and is a predicted model, not a curated record. Lineage: Eukaryota; Metazoa; Arthropoda; Insecta; Lepidoptera; Pieridae.
AUAGUUUAAAAGUUUUAUUUGAUUUUAUUUGCAGCUUGUUUUGGUUUGGCCUGAAUGUUUUUGACAGUCAAGCAUACGAAUAUGGUAGAAAUACGUUUGUCUGCUAAUCUUUGAACGAGCUAUACGUGAUAGAGUUUCAUUUAUUGUUUUAGAGUUGGAUUCAUUGGACGUAAUUAGGUUUAAUGUUCUGCUGAAAUUUGUAAUUAAUCUCUGUGUUGUUCUAUUUCUUAUUUAAAUUCUUAGAUAUAUUUUAAAGUUACUAGUGUCUAUUUUCAUCAUUAUCAAAUUGCCGUACCACAAACCGCAUUUGUGUCAAAGUUAUAAUAUUAUUUAACGUUAAUGCUCUUUUAACAAAGUGAACUAUUGUGAAUAAAUAUCGCAUAACGAUAAUGCACGUAUUGGAUAUCAAGUUCAAAAGGACAAUUACUGAAGGUCGAAAGAAAGAAAUUAAUUGAUAAUAUGGCUUGUUAUCUAUCUAGGUGGUCUGUAAUUGAAUGCACAAAAAUUAUUAUGUAUAACAAAAAGUACAUGAUAUAUUAUGCAAAAUAAUAAUUGCUAGAGGUCUCUAUUUAUUAGAAAGCUUGGCCACUUUCAUGAAUAUUAUAGGGUAUGAGAGAAACUAAACCGGAUAUAUUUUCUUAUAAAGUCCAGUGACUUGCAUGUAAUUUGUAAAAUCGCAUUACUUACUUUCAUAGGUUCAAAUUAAAGCGCAAAAUGUAAUUACAGAUCACUACCAAGCAAACAAUUAGUACAUAAAUCCAAAGACAAAUGAUAUUAUCUCUUACAAUUGCUUACGGUUCGGGAUAUGCUCCCAAAUUUGGUUAAAAAGUAAUGACAUAAAGUAAGCAUAUGUUGUACGUAGAGUAAGUUUUAUUGAUAACAGAAUGAUUACAUAAAAAGCGCGAAGAGAGGUGGGAAAGGAAAGAUACAGAGACGGGCAUUAGGACAAUGUCAAAGGGCAACGCAUAUCGAAAACGAUAGCGUUAUCAGCGCCCUACGGUGACAUCAGCGGAUAUUAAUAAACUAUGGACUCGGGAACAUUAUCGCUUCCUCUAGUCUCUAUCGUGUUUACGAUGUGUUAUCUAGCUGUGAUUAUAGUGUUUACCAUUUGUGUUAGUUAAUUUUCCAGGAAUACUGAUGGGAUAGAUAUUGCUAGGCGGAGUUAUGAGAUCUUUCUAUUUAGUAGGUACACUGAGAAAAAUUUUCUUUAGCAAAGUACCAAUUUAGCUUGGUUAAAAAUUAUUCUGCUGCAUUCAAUUAAGACAUAUUUAAAAUAUGCAUUAAAGCUUUGCUAGUAUUAUACAAGCAAGUAUUGCUAAAUAUUCUUGGCUAUUAUUAAAAAAGUACUUAUUUAUUUCAAAAUUACCGACUCGUUCAAUAUUACCUUUACCGAAUUAGGUUCACAAUAGACAAGCUUACGUUAUUAUUUAAUGAUAAGCAAGUUAUUUAAUUUUAGACUUAACCAUAGUUGGCUACUAUUUACACAGAGUUCGGUUAAAAAUAAACAAGCUUACAUAAUGAUUGAAUGACAAGUAAAUCAUUUAAAUUUAGACAUAAUAUUAUUUGGCUAAAACUAAAUAACUUUCUAUGAUGCAUAUAACCGUGUUUCUUACUUAAAAACAAACAAGUAACUUAUCUAUUGGGAGAUAAGCACAGCUCGGCAAUUAACAAUGGAGCGAAUACUAUUUUUGACCGAGUAACUUGAUAAAAAUUAAACAAGGAAUUGGCUGCGUAGCCCGCAAAUUCAGCCAUUUCUAUCAAAUCAUAGUCGAGUGACGAACGUGUCUGUUGAAGCGCCGCCUCAGCACCUACAAGGCAGAUUCAAAUUUACAUUAAAAACUUUUCAUCAUCAUUUUGAAUUUUAAUCAAAAUAUUAUAGAAGAGCAAGAUGCAGAAGACAAACUAUUAGGGCUCAAAAACAGCCAUGGACAGCCAUAGAACUAAAGUGGCAAGACUCUACAGAGACGAAGCUAAUUGCUGCAAAAUAGUUAACUAUACUCCAAUACCUCAAUACAAUGAAUAUGCGGCUCUUAAAAAACCCAAAGGAUAUCUUCUGCUAUAAAAAGAUUGUGAAAACCAAAGGACAAUAUAUCACUGAAAGCUUCCCCACAAUCAAGCCAAAAAUAUUUGAAUUAGUAAGUUACUUCUGAUCAAGCAAGAUAUUGUCAUAAUAUACUUAUUACUUUAUUAAAUACCUAUUACUUUAGUAAAUUACAUUAGGUAGGAUAUAGUUCCCAUAUAAUAUGUAAAGAGCUUAUUGUACUUUAAUUUUUUUUGGUGCAAAAAAUGUUUAAGUUUUAGCAUUUAUGAUCAUUUUCCCGACGACGAAUGUGAAUUAUGUUUCAAUGAGAAUAAAUUCAAAUGUUUAAAAUAACGGUUUUACUUGUUGGGUUGUAAUAAAAUUAUUAGAUCAAAAAGAUUACUUAUUCUCCUAACUUAUUCUAUAGUUUUUGCCUAAACUUUUGACUUAUCAAAUACAUAUAAGUACAAUAUUUAGAUGUAGUAACUUGCUUACAUUACCAUAAUGGUUGUUUGUUUUUAUGUAAACAAACCUAAACCACUUUCAUUAUAGAACAAACUCCAACAUCGCGAAAUAAAAUCAGCUGUUCCGUAGAUUUUGGCAGAGUAGAUAAUUCCACUUUUGUAUAUGAAACAGCUGAUAUUUCUUUUACGAUGUUGGAUUUGGCUUUGGAUUAGGUAUAGACCUAAUUAAAGUUGUUCAGGUUCGUAGUGUGAGUCAUUCCUUAAAAGUUUACUCAUGAAUCAUGAUUUAUAUUUAAUCCUGUUAUUGUGAAAAUUAAAACACAAAAUAGUUAUUGUUUCUUGACAUUGUGAAUUGUGUACUAUUUUUAAAAGUAGUAGUAUCUAAGUGUAAGUAGUAUGUUACUUGAAAUGAUUGUAUCGUGUACUGAAUAAAGCUAAUUUCAUUAA